This 903-nucleotide ribosomal RNA is filed under the name Limosilactobacillus fermentum. RNAcentral's name for it is "bacterial SSU rRNA". It matches the Rfam family "Bacterial small subunit ribosomal RNA", at positions 599 to 1504 of the family's 1533-position model. Lineage: Bacteria; Bacillati; Bacillota; Bacilli; Lactobacillales; Lactobacillaceae. The record is from RNAcentral.
AGCUUCGGCUUAACGGAAAAGGGCAUCGGAACUGGAUAACUUGAGUGCAGAAGAGGGUAGUGAACUCCAUGUGUAGCGGUGGAAUGCGUAGAUAUAUGGAAGAACACCAGUGGCGAAGGCGGCUACCUGGUCUGCAACUGACGCUGAGACUCGAAAGCAUGGGUAGCGAACAGGAUUAGAUACCCUGGUAGUCCAUGCCGUAAACGAUGAGUGCUAGGUGUUGGAGGGUUUCCGCCCUUUCAGUGCCGGAGCUAACGCAUUAAGCACUCCGCCUGGGGAGUACGACCGCAAGGUUGAAACUCAAAGGAAUUGACGGGGGCCCGCACAAGCGGUGGAGCAUGUGGUUUAAUUCGAAGCUACGCGAAGAACCUUACCAGGUCUUGACAUCUUGCGCCAACCCUAGAGAUAGGGCGUUUCCUUCGGGAACGCAAUGACAGGUGGUGCAUGGUCGUCGUCAGCUCGUGUCGUGAGAUGUUGGGUUAAGUCCCGCAACGAGCGCAACCCUUGUUACUAGUUGCCAGCAUUAAGUUGGGCACUCUAGUGAGACUGCCGGUGACAAACCGGAGGAAGGUGGGGGCGACGUCGGAUCAUCAUGCCCCUUAUGACCUGGGCUACACACGUGCUACAAUGGACGGUACAACGAGUCGCGAACUCGCGAGGGCAAGCAAAUCUCUUAAAACCGUUCUCAGUUCGGACUGCAGGCUGCAACUCGCCUGCACGAAGUCGGAAUCGCUAGUAAUCGCGGAUCAGCAUGCCGCGGUGAAUACGUUCCCGGGCCCUGUACACACCGCCCGUCACACCAUGAGAGUUUGUAACACCCAAAGUCGGUGGGGUAACCUUUUAGGAGCCAGCCGCCUAAGGUGGGACAGAUGAUUAGGGUGAAGUCGUAACAAGCUAACCGUA